AGAGUGUGGAGUCAGGGCCUUAUUUAGAGAGCGUGGAGAAGACGAGAGACGGUCAUUCUCAUCUCUCAAAGCACCAUGUCACACCGCCAAUAUCUCGGGAUAGAGGUGCUGAAUUUGAGUGAUGUUCACUCAUUAAUCAUCUUUCCAAACCAGUAGGAGGCAACUGAACAGACCACAAGUUUCAGACAUGAAGCAGGUUCCCAGUGAGAGCAGCGUUUCUGUCUCUGAUGAGAGCGACAGUGAUUUGA
This is a long non-coding RNA of Carassius carassius (crucian carp), 248 nucleotides long. RefSeq lists it as uncharacterized. NCBI's taxonomy places the organism in Eukaryota, Metazoa, Chordata, Actinopteri, Cypriniformes, Cyprinidae. The record is from RefSeq and is a predicted model, not a curated record. The transcript has 3 exons.